This 1238-nucleotide long non-coding RNA is filed under the name Gallus gallus (chicken). RNAcentral's name for it is "long non-coding RNA NONGGAT001448". The record is from RNAcentral. Lineage: Eukaryota; Metazoa; Chordata; Aves; Galliformes; Phasianidae.
GCGCGUUCAAACGGCCCUCCAGGCCGAAAGGGGGCGCCCCACGCGUAGGCUUCGGGCCUCUUAGGGCCGGGCCCAGGCCUGGGCCUGGCGGGGCCGCUCUGGGCCGGGCUAUGAGGGGCGCCCCCGAGUGGGGCCUGCGGCGGUGCUCCGGGGCUGAGCCCGAGGGGGCCGUGGGGAGGACCUGAGGGCGGCUGGGGGGGAGGGAACGAGAACGGGGUGGGGCGAAGGGGAGGAGGGAUGAGCAGGUGCGGACAGCGGGCCUGUUGGAGCAGGAAGGGGCGGGGGCGGCCGCGGCCCGGGGCGGGCAUGGAGGAGCGCGGAACGGUCUGAGCCGUGUGGGGCCGGUGGGUGCGGGGCGCUGCUGGGGGUGACGGGAGGAGGGGAGCAGCGGGGGGACACCGGACCGGGGGGAGUAGCAGGCCUUAAGGGUGAUUGGGGAAACGUGGGGGGGACGGCGGCCCUUGGGGGUGUGGGGACGGUCCGUGGAGCGAAGGGGGUUUCGGGCCCUCGGUUUGUUAUGUGCCCCGUUUGGAUGAGCCCCGGCCAGCAGGGACUCGGGAUGCUGUACUCCCAGCCCCAGUAUGCCCUCUGUCCCCUAUGGGACAGCGUUGUGUGGGGCAGCGAUGCUUGGGUGCUCCCUGGGCUGCUGGGCCGGGUGGGUCCUCGCUUUGCCUCUCCACAGCCCAGUGCUGGCCCUGCCAGCUGCAUUCAGGCACCCCGUCCUUCAGUCAGAGCAUUAGUGGGGCUGGCCGGGCAGGGGGUCCAGCUCUGCCCUCACCUCUGUGGCUGCAGCUGAAUCCCUAAAGCUUCCAUCCCGCGGUAAAUGAAUCCAGGCAGAGCAGCCAAACCCUGAGGUGGUCGCAUGGUUUGACAUCACCCCUCGCUGCUCCAUGGCAGCAGCACCGGGCACUGAGUGGGAUCCUGCCCUGUGCCCCUCAGCAGCAGCUCUUUGGGCUACAGCCUGAGGUCGCGCUGCAGGACGUGACCCUGUGUUGCCCUUGGUCCUGCUGAUAAUUGGCUUCAACGGGGAUUGUCUGCGAGGAGGAUUUGUUGUAGAGCCCGAGGUCCAUCAGCAUGCUCCAGGUACCACUGCCCCUGGAUCGUGAUGGGAUCCUAUUCCGGCUCCGUUUCACCACUCUGGCUGUUGGGACUGUGUUUUGCCCCUUGUUUGGUUUCCUUUUCUGCGUGAUUUGGUCUCUGCUCUUCCACUUCCAGGAGACAACAGCCACCCACUGCGG